GGGGCGGUGGUGUAAUGGUAACAUCGCAGCCUCCAAAGCUGUGGCCGGGGGUUCGAUUCCCCCUCGCCCCC
Transfer RNA from Naegleria gruberi, 71 nucleotides. It matches the Rfam family "tRNA". Rfam says of the family: Transfer RNA (tRNA) molecules are approximately 80 nucleotides in length. Their secondary structure includes four short double-helical elements and three loops (D, anti-codon, and T loops). Further hydrogen bonds mediate the characteristic L-shaped molecular structure. tRNAs have two regions of fundamental functional importance: the anti-codon, which is responsible for specific mRNA codon recognition, and the 3' end, to which the tRNAs corresponding amino acid is attached (by aminoacyl-tRNA synthetases). tRNAs cope with the degeneracy of the genetic code in two manners: having more than one tRNA (with a specific anti-codon) for a particular amino acid; and 'wobble' base-pairing, i.e. permitting non-standard base-pairing at the 3rd anti-codon position. NCBI's taxonomy places the organism in Eukaryota, Heterolobosea, Eutetramitea, Acrasida, Naegleriidae. The record is from Rfam.